This is a long non-coding RNA of Myotis daubentonii (Daubenton's bat), 845 nucleotides long. RefSeq lists it as uncharacterized. The transcript is spliced from 4 exons. NCBI's taxonomy places the organism in Eukaryota, Metazoa, Chordata, Mammalia, Chiroptera, Vespertilionidae. The record is from RefSeq and is a predicted model, not a curated record.
GAAAGCCAGCAGCAGCAGCAGCAGCAGCAGCAGCAGCAGCAGCAGCAGCAGCCGCCACAGCAGUAGCAGUAGCAGCAUUUAGCAGUAGCUUUAACAGGGUAGCGACAUUAGCAGCUUUCCUCCUUCUCUCUCUCUCCCGCCAACAGCCACUGCUACCGCACUGAGCGGGCUCCAGCGCCAUGAGCGCAGCUGUCUCCCGAGGUAGCCACUGCACGAGCUAGCGCUUGUGCGGGCCAAGUGCGGAUCCCUGGAGCAGCUGGCAGCCGCAGAGGCACUGAGUUCCAGGACCAGAGCCCUAUAGAUCUGACUCCAUCUAGCAAGGCGGCAGCAGCGCCUGAGGGAGAGAGCCGCGUCCACCUGGCGGGCCUGGCACAUGGAGCUGAGGCAGAGGUUGUGGUGACAGCAGCGGCGGCGGCGGCGGCGGCGGCAGCGGCGGCGGCGGCGGCAGCAGCAGCGGCAGCAGCAGCAGCAGCAGCAGCAGUGGCAGCUAGAGCAACGGUGGUGGUGGCGGGAGCCCAGCUUUCACUGCGGCCGUGCUCGUUCCAGCGCCCACAGCCACAACCCGCCAGCGACGUGCACCCCAGGAGUCGGCCUGUGAGGUGCUGAUGUCAUGAUAUUGAUGACCCCAAUGAUUCAUGAUUCAAGGCCAAAGUCACUUCUAGUCAAACACUGAAAGAUGCUGAAAAGGAGCCCCAUUCCUCUCCAAUCAUUCCCAGAGGCAAAGAUGAAUUUGGCCUUCAGAUUCUAGGACUUAAACCAGCAGCCUCCAUUUCUCACCACAAACCCCUCCACCCUAGGUUUCAGACAAGAGAUUGUGGACUUCUUGGCUUCCACAACCAUGUAAG